RNAcentral lists this ribosomal RNA (263 nucleotides) under uncultured bacterium. RNAcentral describes it as "partial 16S ribosomal RNA". It matches the Rfam family "Bacterial small subunit ribosomal RNA", at positions 99 to 354 of the family's 1533-position model. The record is from RNAcentral.
CGAACGGGGUGAGUAACACGUGGGCAACCUGCCCAAAANAGGGGGAGUAACACUUGGAAACAGGUGCUAAUACCGCAUAACCAUAGUUACCGCAUGGUAACUAUGUAAAAGGUGGCUAUGCUACCGCUUUUGGAUGGGCCCGCGGCGCAUUAGCUAGUUGGUGGGGUAAAGGCUUACCAAGGCAAUGAUGCGUAGCCGAACUGAGAGGUUGAUCGGCCACAUUGGGACUGAGACACGGCCCAAACUCCUACGGAAGGCAGCAG